This 96-nucleotide non-coding RNA is filed under the name Salinibacter ruber. The record is from RNAcentral. Lineage: Bacteria; Pseudomonadati; Rhodothermota; Rhodothermia; Rhodothermales; Salinibacteraceae.
GAGAGCCGUAAUGCUGUGAAAGCAGCACGUUCGGUUCGGAGAGGAAAUUGGUUAGACGACUCUAUAAACGAGCACCGCGAACUGAUUUUACUCUAC